AACGAACGCUGGCGGCAGGCUUAACACAUGCAAGUCGAGCGCCCCGCAAGGGGAGCGGCAGACGGGUGAGUAACGCGUGGGAACGUACCCUUCGGUUCGGAAUAACUCAGGGAAACUUGGGCUAAUACCGGAUACGUCCGUGAGGAGAAAGAUUUAUCGCCGAAGGAUCGGCCCGCGUUGGAUUAGCUAGUUGGUGGGGUAAUGGCCUACCAAGCCGACGAUCCAUAGCUGGUUUGAGAGGAUGAUCAGCCACACUGGGACUGAGACACGGCCCAGACUCCUACGGGAGGCAGCAGUGGGGAAUCUUAGACAAUGGGCGCAAGCCUGAUCUAGCCAUGCCGCGUGAGCGAUGAAGGCCUUAGGGUUGUAAAGCUCUUUCAGUGGGGAAGAUAAUGACUGUACCCACAGAAGAAGCCCCGGCUAACUCCGUG
Molecule: ribosomal RNA, 431 nt
Filed under: uncultured bacterium
Lineage: Bacteria
Description: bacterial SSU rRNA
Rfam family: Bacterial small subunit ribosomal RNA
Source: RNAcentral